This 328-nucleotide unclassified non-coding RNA is filed under the name soil metagenome. Its description in RNAcentral is "partial contains 5.8S ribosomal RNA, internal transcribed spacer 2, and large subunit ribosomal RNA". The stretch from base 1 to 121 matches the Rfam family "5.8S ribosomal RNA", at positions 35 to 154 of the family's 154-position model. The record is from RNAcentral.
GAUGAAGGAACGCAGCGAAAUGCGAUAAGUAAUGUGAAUUGCAGAAUUCAGUGAAUCAUCGAAUCUUUGAACGCACAUUGCGCCCCUUGGUAUUCCGAGGGGCAUGCCUGUUCGAGCGUCAUUAUCACCCCUCAAGCUUUGCUUGGUGUUGGGGCCUGCUGUAAUAGGCAGCCCUUAAAAUCAGUGGCGGUGCUUCAAGGCUCUAAGCGUAGUAAUUCUCCUCGCUAUAGUGUCUAGUGGUUGCCAGCCAGAACCCCCCAAUUUUCAUGAUUGACCUCGGAUCAGGUAGGGAUACCCGCUGAACUUAAGCAUAUCAAUAAGCGGAGGA